RNAcentral lists this ribosomal RNA (1119 nucleotides) under Staphylococcus aureus H50411. Its description in RNAcentral is "bacterial SSU rRNA". It matches the Rfam family "Bacterial small subunit ribosomal RNA", at positions 8 to 1106 of the family's 1533-position model. The record is from RNAcentral. Lineage: Bacteria; Bacillati; Bacillota; Bacilli; Caryophanales; Staphylococcaceae.
AGAGUUUGAUCCUGGCUCAGGAUGAACGCUGGCGGCGUGCCUAAUACAUGCAAGUCGAGCGAACGGACGAGAAGCUUGCUUCUCUGAUGUUAGCGGCGGACGGGUGAGUAACACGUGGAUAACCUACCUAUAAGACUGGGAUAACUUCGGGAAACCGUAGCUAAUACCGGAUAAUAUUUUGAACCGCAUGGUUCAAAAGUGAAAGACGGUCUUGCUGUCACUUAUAGAUGGAUCCGCGCUGCAUUAGCUAGUUGGUAAGGUAACGGCUUACCAAGGCAACGAUGCAUAGCCGACCUGAGAGGGUGAUCGGCCACACUGGAACUGAGACACGGUCCAGACUCCUACGGGAGGCAGCAGUAGGGAAUCUUCCGCAAUGGGCGAAAGCCUGACGGAGCAACGCCGCGUGAGUGAUGAAGGUCUUCGGAUCGUAAAACUCUGUUAUUAGGGAAGAACAUAUGUGUAAGUAACUGUGCACAUCUUGACGGUACCUAAUCAGAAAGCCACGGCUAACUACGUGCCAGCAGCCGCGGUAAUACGUAGGUGGCAAGCGUUAUCCGGAAUUAUUGGGCGUAAAGCGCGCGUAGGCGGUUUUUUAAGUCUGAUGUGAAAGCCCACGGCUCAACCGUGGAGGGUCAUUGGAAACUGGAAAACUUGAGUGCAGAAGAGGAAAGUGGAAUUCCAUGUGUAGCGGUGAAAUGCGCAGAGAUAUGGAGGAACACCAGUGGCGAAGGCGACUUUCUGGUCUGUAACUGACGCUGAUGUGCGAAAGCGUGGGGAUCAAACAGGAUUAGAUACCCUGGUAGUCCACGCCGUAAACGAUGAGUGCUAAGUGUUAGGGGGUUUCCGCCCCUUAGUGCUGCAGCUAACGCAUUAAGCACUCCGCCUGGGGAGUACGACCGCAAGGUUGAAACUCAAAGGAAUUGACGGGGACCCGCACAAGCGGUGGAGCAUGUGGUUUAAUUCGAAGCAACGCGAAGAACCUUACCAAAUCUUGACAUCCUUUGACAACUCUAGAGAUAGAGCCUUCCCCUUCGGGGGACAAAGUGACAGGUGGUGCAUGGUUGUCGUCAGCUCGUGUCGUGAGAUGUUGGGUUAAGUCCCGCAACGAGCGCAACCCUU